ACUUCCUGAGCCGGAACGAAAAGUCUUUAAGAAUGAGAGUUCUGGAGGGCUUUUGGCUUACGGUUGUGAUGUUGUGUUGUUGUGUUUGCAUUUGGUCUGCGAUUCAGACCAUCGUAGCUAAGCUACUCUUUCACUUCCUGUACAUUUACCCUGUCUGUCCAUAGUGAUUAAUGUAGCACCGCACUUUGCGGUGCUUUUUUUU
Cronobacter sakazakii ATCC BAA-894 is the source of this 202-nucleotide non-coding RNA. It matches the Rfam family "GcvB RNA". From Rfam's summary of the family: The gcvB gene encodes a small untranslated RNA involved in expression of the dipeptide and oligopeptide transport systems in Escherichia coli. Lineage: Bacteria; Pseudomonadati; Pseudomonadota; Gammaproteobacteria; Enterobacterales; Enterobacteriaceae. The record is from Rfam.